GUGGGGAAUAUUGGACAAUGGGCGCAAGCCUGAUCCAGCCAUUCCGCGUGCAGGAUGAAGGCCUUCGGGUUGUAAACUGCUUUUGUACGGAACGAAAAGCCUCUGGUUAAUACCCGGGGGUCAUGACGGUACCGUAAGAAUAAGCACCGGCUAACUACGUGCCAGCAGCCGCGGUAAUACGUAGGGUGCGAGCGUUAAUCGGAAUUACUGGGCGUAAAGCGUGCGCAGGCGGUGAUGUAAGACAGUUGUGAAAUCCCCGGGCUCAACCUGGGAACUGCAGCUGUGACUGCAUUGCUGGAGUGCGGCAGAGGGGGAUGGAAUUCCGCGUGUAGCAGUGAAAUGCGUAGAUAUGCGGAGGAACACCGAUGGCGAAGGCAAUCCCCUGGGCCUGCACUGACGCUCAUGCACGAAAGCGUGGGGAGCAAACAGGAUUAGAAACCCGAGUAGUCC
This 450-nucleotide ribosomal RNA is filed under the name uncultured bacterium. RNAcentral's name for it is "partial 16S ribosomal RNA". It matches the Rfam family "Bacterial small subunit ribosomal RNA", at positions 354 to 796 of the family's 1533-position model. The record is from RNAcentral.